RNAcentral lists this transfer RNA (64 nucleotides) under Magicicada cassinii (seventeen-year cicada). RNAcentral's name for it is "Magicicada cassini (seventeen-year cicada) tRNA-Trp". The record is from RNAcentral. RNAcentral also lists the same sequence under 1 other name. Lineage: Eukaryota; Metazoa; Arthropoda; Insecta; Hemiptera; Cicadidae.
AAGGUUUUAAGUUAAUAAAACUAUUAUCCUUCAAAGUUAAAAAUAUAAUCUCUUGUAAGCCUUA